This 73-nucleotide transfer RNA is filed under the name Bos taurus (domestic cattle). It matches the Rfam family "tRNA". From Rfam's summary of the family: Transfer RNA (tRNA) molecules are approximately 80 nucleotides in length. Their secondary structure includes four short double-helical elements and three loops (D, anti-codon, and T loops). Further hydrogen bonds mediate the characteristic L-shaped molecular structure. tRNAs have two regions of fundamental functional importance: the anti-codon, which is responsible for specific mRNA codon recognition, and the 3' end, to which the tRNAs corresponding amino acid is attached (by aminoacyl-tRNA synthetases). tRNAs cope with the degeneracy of the genetic code in two manners: having more than one tRNA (with a specific anti-codon) for a particular amino acid; and 'wobble' base-pairing, i.e. permitting non-standard base-pairing at the 3rd anti-codon position. Lineage: Eukaryota; Metazoa; Chordata; Mammalia; Artiodactyla; Bovidae. The record is from Rfam by way of RNAcentral. RNAcentral also lists the same sequence under 1 other name.
UCCUUAGUGGUUCAGUGGCUAAGACUCUGUACUCCCAACACAGAGGACCUGGGUUCAAUUCCUGGUCAGAGAA